GACCUGGAGAAGGCAGGGGGCUGGGAAUCUUGGCUGGGCCCAAGACCAAGAAGCCUCCACACAGAGCCCAUCCGUCUUCCCCUUGACCCACUGCUGCAAAAACAUUCCCUCCAAUGCCACCUCCGUGACGCUGGGCUGCCUGGCCACGGGCUACUUCCCGGAGCCAGUGAUGGUGACCUGGGACGCAGGCUCCCUCCAUGGGACAACUAUGACCUUACCAGCCACCACCCUCACACCCUCUGGUCACUAUGCCACCAUCAGCUUGCUGACCAUCUCGGGUGCGUCGGCCAAGCAGAUGUUCACCUGCCGUGUGGCACACACUCCAUCGUCCGCAGACUGGGUUGUCAACAAAACCUUCAGCGUCUGCUCCAGGGACUUCACCCCACCCACCGUGAAGAUCUUACAGUCGUCCUGCGACGGCGGCGGGCACUUCCCCCCGACCAUCCAGCUCCUGUGCCUCGUCUCUGGGUACACCCCAGGGACUAUCAACAUCACCUGGCUGGAGGACGGGCAGGUCAUGGACGUGGACUUGUCCACCGCCUCUGCCACGCAGGAGGGUGAGCUGGCCUCCACACAAAGCGAGCUCACCCUCAGCCAGAAGCGCUGGCUGUCGGACCGCACCUACACCUGCCAGGUCACCUAUCAAGGUGACACCUUUGAGGACAGCACCAAGAAGUGUGCAGAUUCCAACCCGAGAGGGGUGAGCGCCUACCUAAGCCGGCCCAGCCCGUUCGACCUGUUCAUCCGCAAGUCGCCCACGAUCACCUGUCUGGUGGUGGACCUGGCACCCAGCAAGGGGACCGUGAACCUGACCUGGUCCCGGGCCAGUGGGAAGCCUGUGAACCACUCCACCGGAAAGCAGGAGAAGCAGCGCAAUGGCACGUUAACCGUCACGUCCACCCUGCCGGUGGGCACCCGAGACUGGAUCGAGGGGGAGACUUACCAGUGCAGGGUGACCCACCCCCACUUGCCCAGGGCCCUCGUGCGCUCCACGACCAAGACCAGCGGCCCGCGUGCUGCCCCGGAAGUCUACGCGUUUGCGACGCCAGAGGAGCCGGGGAGCCGGGACAAGCGCACCCUCGCCUGCCUGAUCCAGAACUUCAUGCCUGAGGACAUCUCGGUGCAGUGGCUGCACAACGAGGUGCAGCUCCCGGAUGCCCGGCACAGCACGACGCAGCCCCGCAAGACCAAGGGCUCCGGCUUCUUCGUCUUCAGCCGCCUGGAGGUGACCAGGGCCGAAUGGGAGCAGAAAGAUGAGUUCAUCUGCCGUGCAGUCCAUGAGGCAGCGAGCCCCUCACAGACCGUCCAGCGAGCGGUGUCUGUAAAUCCCGGGCUGGCUGGCGGCUCUGCACAGUCCCAGAGGGCCCCGGAUAGGGUGCUCUGCCACUCUGAACAGCAGCCGGGACUGCCGAGAGCGGCAAGGGGCUCUGUCCCCCACCCCCGCUGCCACUGUGGAGCCCGGAGGGCUGACUGGCCAGGUCCCCCAGAGCUGGACGUGUGUGUGGAGGAGGCCGAGGGCGAGGCGCCGUGGACGUGGACUGGCCUCUGCAUCUUCGCCGCACUCUUCCUGCUCAGCGUGAGCUACAGCGCUGCCAUCACGCUCCUCAUGGUGCAGCGGUUCCUCUCAGCCACGCGGCAGGGGAGGCCCCAGACCUCCCUCGACUACACCAACAUCCCCCAGCCCCACGCCUAGGCCGUGGGCCACUCACGCUCCAACAGGCCCAGCUCUUUCUCUGCCGGCGCCUGAGCCUCCCUCGGGCUGCGCCCUGCCCUGGGUGGGAAAAGGGAAGCAGACAAGAGAAGGGGGCACAAGGUCACUACUGUGGGCUGAUGGCCAGUGAAUCUGAGCCCAGAGGGGUCCGGCUCAGCCGCAAGGUUAAAGGCGCCGACAGACCCACCAGUCGCAGCCCCCCACCCUAAAACAGUGUCUGUCCCUUCAACAGAGUCAUCGAGGAGGGGGUGGCUGCUAGCCGUUCUAGCUCAUCCCAGGCCCCUGAGUCUCAGGGUCACUCCCAUUCUGACUGUACAAUCACCAAAAGCCAAGGAGGGCCCGGCACCCAGCCCAGGACACAGCUGAGUCUGCGUCCAGCCCAACACCAGCCCACGGUCUCACUCCCCAGCCUUGGUCUGACCCUUCUAGCCCUGAGGUUCAAGUGCCUGGCAUCCCCGUCCCCCAAGCCUCACUCAGACCUUCUUUCCCUUCACCCACCCCUCCUGCCACCCAUCCCCAGCCCCCAUCCCUUCACCCACCCCUCCUGCCACCCAUCCCCAGCCCCCAUCCCUUCACCCACCCCUCCUGCCAUCCGUCCGCAGCCCCCAUCCCUGCAGCCUGAAGGCACAGGGAAGCCCUCUGAGGCCAGGCCACAGGACUGUUGAGGGCUUUGGGCCUCUGGAGUGGGUAGAGGGGCUCCCACAGCCAGAGAAGGGGUUUCCUGCAGGGACAGCAGCUGCUGACCUCGUCCCUAUGACCUCGUCCAGCCUCUGGCUUCAGCAGUCCUAUUUCUUUCCCUCUGGGUUUCUUAGUAAAGUUCCUUUUCAC
This is a non-coding RNA of Pongo pygmaeus (Bornean orangutan), 2539 nucleotides long. The record is from the annotation of a RefSeq genome assembly. NCBI's taxonomy places the organism in Eukaryota, Metazoa, Chordata, Mammalia, Primates, Hominidae.